This 848-nucleotide ribosomal RNA is filed under the name uncultured archaeon. RNAcentral's name for it is "bacterial SSU rRNA". It matches the Rfam family "Archaeal small subunit ribosomal RNA", at positions 21 to 874 of the family's 1478-position model. The record is from RNAcentral.
AGGUUACUGCUAUCGAGGUUCGACUAAGCCAUGCGAGUCGAAUGUAGCAAUACAUGGCGUACUGCUCAGUAACACGUGGAUAACCUGCCCUUGAGACGGGGAUAAACCCGGGAAACUGGGUAUAAUACCCGAUAGAUCUCGGCUGCUGGAAUGCACCGAGUUCUAAAGCUCCGGCGCUCAAGGAUGGAUCUGCGGCCUAUCAGGUAGUAGUGGGUGUAGCGUACCUACUAGCCUACGACGGGUACGGGUUGUGAGAGCAAGAGCCCGGAGAUGGAUUCUGAGACACGAAUCCAGGCCCUACGGGGUGCAGCAGGCGCGAAAACUUUACAAUGCUGGAAACAGCGAUAAGGGGACCUCGAGUGCCAGGUUACAAAUCUGGCUGUCGUGAUGCCUAAAAAGCAUUGCAUAGCAAGGGCCGGGCAAGACCGGUGCCAGCCGCCGCGGUAACACCGGCGGCUCGAGUGGUAACCGUUAUUAUUGGGUCUAAAGGGUCUGUAGCCGGCCGGAUAAGUCUCUUGGGAAAUCUGGCAGCUUAACUGUCAGGCUUUCAGGAGAUACUGUCUGGCUCGAGGCCGGGAGAGGUGAGAGGUACUUCAGGGGUAGGGGUGAAAUCUUGUAAUCCUUGAAGGACCACCAGUGGCGAAGGCGUCUCACCAGAACGGACCUGACGGCAAGGGACGAAAGCUAGGGGCACGAACCGGAUUAGAUACCCGGGUAGUCCUAGCCGUAAACGAUACUCGCUAGGUGUCGGCCACGGUGCGACCGUUGUCGGUGCCGUAGGGAAGCCGUGAAGCGAGCCACCUGGGAAGUACGGCCGCAAGGCUGAAACUUAAAGGAAUUGGCGGGGG